AACGAACGCUGGCGGCAUGCCUAACACAUGCAAGUCGAACGAGACCUUCGGGUCUGGUGGCGCACGGGUGCGUAACGCGUGGGAACCUGCCCUUAGGUUCGGAAUAACUCCCCGAAAGGGGUGCUAAUACCGGGUAAUGUCUUCGGACCAAAGAUUUAUCGCCUUUGGAUGGGCCCGCGUUGGAUUAGCUAGUUGGUAGGGUAAAAGCCUACCAAGGCGACGAUCCAUAGCUGGUCUGAGAGGAUGAUCAGCCACACUGGGACUGAGACACGGCCCAGACUCCUACGGGAGGCAGCAGUGGGGAAUAUUGGACAAUGGGCGAAAGCCUGAUCCAGCAAUGCCGCGUGAGUGAUGAAGGCCUUAGGGUUGUAAAGCUCUUUUACCCGGGAUGAUAAUGACAGUACCGGGAGAAUAAGCUCCGGCUAACUCCGUG
RNAcentral lists this ribosomal RNA (433 nucleotides) under uncultured bacterium. Its description in RNAcentral is "partial 16S ribosomal RNA". It matches the Rfam family "Bacterial small subunit ribosomal RNA", at positions 29 to 507 of the family's 1533-position model. The record is from RNAcentral.